This 497-nucleotide ribosomal RNA is filed under the name uncultured bacterium. RNAcentral describes it as "partial 16S ribosomal RNA". It matches the Rfam family "Bacterial small subunit ribosomal RNA", at positions 28 to 507 of the family's 1533-position model. The record is from RNAcentral.
GAUGAACGCUGGCGGCGUGCCUAAUACAUGCGAGUCGAGCGAACAGAUAAGGAGCUUGCUCCUUUGACGUUAGCGGCGGACGGGUGAGUAACACGUGGGUAACCUACCUAUAAGACUGGAAUAACUCCGGGAAACCGGGGCUAAUGCCGGAUAACAUUUAGAACCGCAUGGUUCUAAAGUGAAAGAUGGUUUUGCUAUCACUUAUAGAUGGACCCGCGCCGUAUUAGCUAGUUGGUAAGGUAACGGCUUACCAAGGCAACGAUACGUAGCCGACCUGAGAGGGUGAUCGGCCACACUGGAACUGAGACACGGUCCAGACUCCUACGGGAGGCAGCAGUAGGGAAUCUUCCGCAAUGGGCGAAGGCCUGACGGAGCAACGCCGCGUGAGUGAUGAAGGUCUUCGGAUCGUAAAACUCUGUUAUUAGGGAAGAACAAAUGUGUAAGUAACUGUGCACGUCUUGACGGUACCUAAUCAGAAAGCCACGGCUAACUACGUG